CCUUCCGUCAACUUCGCCAACGUUCGAAUAAUUUCGUUACCAGUUGCAUUUUCCUGAGUUUUAAUUUAGAACGAUUUCUCGUUUUAUCUAAUUAUAGUGAUAAUUACUCAUGGUGGAUGUAUUUAAAUUUUAUCAAAGUAUGUUGUAAACUGGCAAAACGAUUAUUUGGUAAAAGAAAGUAGUACAUGUUAACAACAAUACGAAAAUGUCGUUGAUGACGUACUUGCUCUUGUCACCCUUUCACUAGUCUAUUGCUUCUUGUUCUGCUUGUGGCUUUCGUGAACAUUUUUGUUUCGAAAUUUUAGAAAAAAUAAUGGUACAUACAAAAUUUGUAUCACGACAGGUUCUGGAUUUAUGGUUUUAUCCGUGAUAUACUUCGGAAUACAUUGCCUCCUGCCUUUGCCAAUGCCAUACAAUGUAUUCUUCAGCUAUUCAACCUACACGGAGACUGUGCUUUGUUGUCGAGAGAUUGACUAUGAAUGAGAAGGAGAGAGAGAACAUUGAAGUUGAUUUUGACGUUGUGCAGCAACCAGUGUCUACAAUAGUACUAUCGUUUUUUCUGGACUUUUGGACCGAUGAGAGAGAAUAACUGAAAAUUUAUAAGGAAACUAAAAAACAUAUUGUCAAUAUUGCUGGAUUUGGCUUGCUCUUCAUACUUGUAUAACUUUAGAACAUUGCAUUCUUCAUUUAAUUAAGAUUGUUCAACAAAAGGGAAAGAAUUAAAGUUCAGUUUGGUCCUACUGAAACAACCAAUGUCUACAUGGACAUCAUCUUUCCUGGAUUGUUCUCUUGAUUACCUGUUUACAUCUUUGCCUUGCAACAUUAUGAAGUUAAUUUUCAACUGA
This is a long non-coding RNA of Agrilus planipennis (emerald ash borer), 845 nucleotides long. RefSeq lists it as uncharacterized. Lineage: Eukaryota; Metazoa; Arthropoda; Insecta; Coleoptera; Buprestidae. The record is from RefSeq and is a predicted model, not a curated record. The transcript has 4 exons.